UGGGGAAUAUUGCACAAUGGGGGAAACCCUGAUGCAGCGACGCCGCGUGAGCGAAGAAGGUUUUCGAAUCGUAAAGCUCUGUCCUAUGGGAAGAUAAUGACGGUACCAUAGGAGGAAGCCCCGGCUAACUACGUGCCAGCAGCCGCGGUAAUACGUAGGGGGCAAGCGUUGUCCGGAAUCACUGGGCGUAAAGGGUUCGCAGGCGGAAAUGCAAGUCAGUUGUGAAAGGCAGAGGCUCAACCUCUGUAAGCAAUUGAAACUGUAUUUCUUGAGAUGUGGAGAGGCAAGUGGAAUUCCUAGUGUAGCGGUGAAAUGCGUAGAUAUUAGGAAGAAUACCGGUGGCGAAGGCGACUUGCUGGACACAAACUGACGAUGAGGAACGAAAGCGUGGGUAGCAAACAGG
Molecule: ribosomal RNA, 403 nt
Filed under: Fusobacteriota bacterium
Lineage: Bacteria; Fusobacteriati; Fusobacteriota
Description: Fusobacteria bacterium partial 16S ribosomal RNA
Rfam family: Bacterial small subunit ribosomal RNA
Source: RNAcentral